AUUGGUUAAUGUGCGAAAGCGCGAACCAGCAACGCCGCGUGUGCGAUGAAGGCCUUCGGGUCGUAAAGCACUUUUUGCGGGGAAGAGGAAGGACGGUACCUGCAGAAUAAGUCUCGGCUAACUACGUGCCAGCAGCCGCGGUAAAACGUAGGAGACGAGCGUUAUCCGGAUUUACUGUGAGUAAAGCGCGUGAAGGCGGCAUGGCAAGUUGGAUGU
RNAcentral lists this ribosomal RNA (216 nucleotides) under uncultured bacterium. Its description in RNAcentral is "partial 16S ribosomal RNA". It matches the Rfam family "Bacterial small subunit ribosomal RNA", at positions 363 to 595 of the family's 1533-position model. The record is from RNAcentral.